Molecule: small nucleolar RNA, 107 nt
Filed under: Theobroma cacao (cacao)
Lineage: Eukaryota; Viridiplantae; Streptophyta; Magnoliopsida; Malvales; Malvaceae
Description: Plant small nucleolar RNA R71
Rfam family: Plant small nucleolar RNA R71
About the family: R71 is a member of the C/D box family of snoRNAs containing the C (UGAUGA) and D (CUGA) box motifs. Multiple nearly identical copies of this snoRNA have been identified in Arabidopsis, and it is thought to function as a 2'-O-ribose methylation guide for 18S ribosomal RNA.
Source: Rfam by way of RNAcentral
AAUCCAUGGUGAAGACAUUUUCUUAACAAAUCCUUAUACCUCUCUUAAACCUCAUAUAGUGAUUUAAAAUCAAAUUGCAUGAAAGAAGUGGUAUCAUUCCUCAUAUU